AGAGUUUGAUCUGGCACAGAACGAACGUGGGCGGCGUGGAUUAGGCAUGCAAGUCGAACGAAUCCCGGGGGCAACUUCGGGGGAAGUGGCGAAAGGGGCAGUAAUGCGUGGCUAACCUACCCUGGGGACGGGGAUAGCCUUCCUAACGGAAGGGUAAUACCUGGCGAUGUGGCGAGGGGGGCAUCUUCUUGCCAUGAAAUGAGUUUCGCCUCGGGAGGGGGUCACGUGCUAUUAGCUUGUUGGCGGGGUAACGGCCCACCAAGGCUAAGAUGGCUAGCGGGUGUGAGAGCACGACCCGCGCCACUGGCACUGAGACACUGGCCAGACUCCUACGGGAGGCUGCAGUCGAGGAUCUUCGGCAAUGGGCGCAAGCCUGACCGAGCGACGCCGCGUGUGCGAUGAAGGCCUUCGGGUUGUAAAGCACUGUCGAGGGGGAGGAAAGCCCGCAAGGGUCUGACCUAUCCCUGGAGGAAGCACGGGCUAAGUUCGUGCCAGCAGCCGCGGUAAGACGAACCGUGCGAACGUUGUUCGGAUUCACUGGGCUUAAAGGGCGCGUAGGCGGCUUGCCAAGUCAGGGGUGAAAUCUUUCGGCUUAACCGGAAAAGUGCUUCUGAUACUGGCAGGCUGGAGGGAGGUAGGGGCAGAUGGAACUUCCGGUGGAGCGGUGAAAUGCGUAGAUAUCGGAAGGAACGCCGGUGGCGAAAGCGAUCUGCUGGACCUCUUCUGACGCUGAGGCGCGAAAGCCAGGGGAGCAAACGGGAUUAGAUACCCCGGUAGUCCUGGCCCUAAACGAUGGGUACUAGGUAGUGGACUUGACAUGGGUUCACU
RNAcentral lists this ribosomal RNA (828 nucleotides) under uncultured bacterium. Its description in RNAcentral is "bacterial SSU rRNA". It matches the Rfam family "Bacterial small subunit ribosomal RNA", at positions 8 to 844 of the family's 1533-position model. The record is from RNAcentral.